AAACAGCCUUCUGCACUCACAGCCGAAGGGAAAGCAGCAGGUUGGGGCUUCUUGUGGCCAACUUCAGAGCCUGUCACCAGGAAAGGUAAGCAUGGGAGGAAGGAAGAUGGCGACAGAUGAAGAAAAUGUCUAUGGUAAGACCAAAUCUCUACACCUCAUACUUGCCCCCCUAGGCUUGAACUUAGGGUAAUAAGGAGAAUGGGGCUUCCUCAAGACUGAACAGAGAUAAGUUCCAGAGGUGUCUCAACUCUGGGAUGAAACAGCACCAGCCCUGAGAUUUGCAUUUUAGCUGGAUCUCUGCUGUGAGAAGUUAAGUUCUGUGACUAGCCUGCUCCCUUGGUUCCACGGUAUAAAAUAAGGAUAAUAAACCUACUCCGAUCACCACAGAAGAAGUGCAGAGGGGAUUAAAUCAUGCACUACAGUGAACAUGAUUUGUGAGGUAGAAUGUUUAGAGAACAAGGAUAGAGGGUUAAAACAUAUAUUCUUUUUAGGCAGCCAGUUUAAGAGAGAGAUAAGAGAGGAAGGAGAGAAAGAGGGAGAGAAGGAGAGAAGAAGGAAAG
RNAcentral lists this small RNA (560 nucleotides) under Pan troglodytes (chimpanzee). RNAcentral's name for it is "retained intron". The record is from RNAcentral. Lineage: Eukaryota; Metazoa; Chordata; Mammalia; Primates; Hominidae.